Peromyscus californicus insignis is the source of this 13680-nucleotide long non-coding RNA. RefSeq lists it as uncharacterized. Lineage: Eukaryota; Metazoa; Chordata; Mammalia; Rodentia; Cricetidae. The transcript is spliced from 3 exons. The record is from RefSeq and is a predicted model, not a curated record.
CCCCCCCCCCCCCCCCCCCCUUGCUCUUAUAACCUUCCUCUGUUCAACUGAACUCCUGGAGCUCAGCCCAAUGCUUGGCUGUGGGUCUCUGCAUCUGCUUCCAUCAGUCACUGGAUGUAAGUUCUAUGACAGUUAGGGUAGUCACCAAUCUGAGUGCAGGGCAAGACUAGUUCAAGCAUCCUCUCUCUAGCAGGCCACAAGAAUAUAUUAUAGAGAUUCAGCUGUAUAUUUGAGCUAUACCUAGAAAAUUCAAGGCAUUUUUCUAGAGGAAGCCAUUUAUCAAAGGGAUAUUUGGUGUUAUUCAGUUUUUAAUAUUUCAGUUGUCUUCUGCUAUGAAAUUCUUGUACGUCCAUAUACUACCAGGCCAUGGCAAAGACACUGAUCCACUAGGUAACUAACCCCUCCUCCCCAACAGAGCCUAGGAGACAGGCAGGUUAUAGAUGCAUAGCUUUGUUUCUUGUGCAAAUGAAGCUCAGACCAUCCCUUGCCUUCAGGCCUAGUGGCAUUCCAGAGCAAUGGACUCAGGACAAUAGGGCUUUUUGCAUAACCAGGUACAGUAAGGACUGGAGUGGAAUUCCAGAGGUAGGCAGAGAGGAGAGAAAGAACAAGGCAGUUUUCUGUAGAUGGUAGACAGAACUUCAUGGCCAGAGAGAAGAGAGAGAGGCAGAGAUUCUGUAGAUGGUUAGGAAGGUCUCUUGUAGAGUUUUCUCAGAGCCAGGAGUAAGGAGCUAGGAAGGAAAGACGGAGGAUGAAGGAACAGGGGACGAAGAUGAGAUCAAGAGUGUAAGGGCUUAGUUAUUACUAGGCUGUGAGGGGACAGAAAAAGGAGGUACAGAGAGGAACUGAGAGUCAGGACGGAAUUGAAGCUCUAUAGAUAGAAUUUUGUCUUAGAGAAAUAAAGUAAUGGAUGAAAGAACGUCGUGUACACCUCAGAUUCUUUUCCUUCAGGUAACCCCACUCCAGAUGUAGCCUCUGCCCCAGGACUUUGGGAAGAAUCUUCUUAGGGCAGGCCCUUGGGAAAAUUCUGUCACCUCUCCACCAUUGCUAGGAGUCUUAGCUGGGGACAGUCUUGUGAGUUCCUGGGGUUUUCCCUAGCUGCAGAUUUCUCCCCAUCCCCUUAACGGUACACUCUGUCAAGAUAUCUCCUUCAUUGCUCGCCCUCCCUGUCUCUCCUCCAUAUCAGCCAUUUCAAGCCCUCAUGUUCCCACUUCCUAUACCCUUCCCUCUAUUCCCCCCUCCCAGUUUACCCAGGAGAUCUUAACCCUUUCCUCUUCCUGGGGUGACCCAUGUGUGCCCCUCUUAGUGUCCUCUUUACCUAGCUUCUCUGGGGUUGUGGAUUGUAGCCUGGCUAUCCUUUGCUUUGCGUAAUACUCCAUGGUGUAAAUGGACCACAUUUUCUUUAUCCAUUCUUCGGCUGAACCUCCGUCUCAUCUAUGAACUGUUGGAGCAUGGGAAGGCAACAAACCUGUAGAUCCAAAACUGCAGGAUCUCCACAGCACAGGACGACGGAGGGGAAGCCCUGUGAGAACCCAGUGUUGAUGGUGACAGAGGACGGAGGCCAGGCCAACGACUGUUGGCAAUGAGCACAAAUGAAGGUUGCUCUUGGUCAGAGUGCUCUGCCGUAACGACAGAAUCAAACUAGGAUGGGGUGCUUGCUGUGUCCUCACGGGGUCUGAGCUGGGAUCUCAGCGCUGAUGGAAAAAGCCAGGCCUGGCUGCGAAUGCUCGUGACCCCAGUGCUGCAGAGGGUGGAGACAGGAAGAUCGCUGGGGCUUGCUGCCUUCCAGCCUAGCUCCAGGUUCAGUGAAGACCCCAUCUCAAGGGAAUAAGGUGGACAGAGCAGGCCACCCACGGCCCUGCCUGGUCUCUCCCUGCGCUCGUCAGCACACUUGCACAUAUACCACACCUGUGCACCAUAUGCACAGACAUACAAAGCGGGGCGUGUCUGGAUCUCACGGCUCUGAGGAGUUAGAACAUGGUGGACACUGACCGUGGGGUCUCUACAGCCAAGCAAGUGCCACAGACGGGGUGCCACCUACAUGAUGUGUUCCAGAGUGCUGUCAAGAAUUACAAAGUAGGACUGAAUGCUUUGCUCCUAAGGUGAUUGCCUGGCAAGGUCUUUGUAAUAUGAACUUCAACAAGUAUGCAAAUUAGAGUUAGUUAAUUGCUUACGUGACUUUGGGCACAUGCUUGAAUUCACCCUUUUAUAAAUUGGGGCUAAUAAAAGCAACUGCCAGAUGAGUUUUUUGAAGUGUCCCGGAAGUAUCAUUUAUUCUCAGCUUGAAGAUGGGCUUCUUUUAUUGUACUGGGUUUUCCCGAGGCAGGGUUUCUCAGUGGACUCAGACCUGUUUCUGCCUGGCUGCCGUGACAGUCACCUGUGGGAGCUCCUGUACCCACCUCUUCCUGAAUCUGUAGACGCCAUUCCUAGACUCUGCCCAAAGUGCUGGUGAGCCAGCAUCUCAUGUAUGACCUUCAGUUUAUAAGGUGGGACCGACCGCAGCCUCUGCCUCUGGCUUCUUUGUCUCUCAGAACAUUCUGAGGGUCCCGGUGCUGGCAGGCUUCUGUUGCCAGUGACCCACUCAGCACGCCGUUCUCAUUUUCCCUGUCUCCUUUGGUCAGUCCCUUUCUGCUCCUCCUCCCUGGCCUCAGCACACACAUAGAUGACUUGGUGCUGAACUCUUGUCUCUUGGCUGGUUCUAGAAAACCAAGCCAAGACAGUCUUCUUUACUCUUCCUUAGACAAUGCUGAGCUGUGAACUCAUGUCAAGAGUUAGCAUUUCCAAAGACUAAAAUUGGACGGUUAAACAUAUUUUAUGUGUAUGUACCUGCGUGUGAGUGUAUUACUGCACCAUGUCUGCAGGUAAGAACAGGGUGUUGGAUCCCCUGGAACUGGAGUCACAGACAGAUGUGAGCCACUGUGUUGGUGCUGGGAAAUGAAUCUGGGUCCCUAGAUCAGCCAGGGAUCCUAAACACUGAGCCUUCUCUCCAGCAUUUUAUGAGCACUAUGAAAGCCCCGUGAGAGGUAGUGACGGGGAAGGUUCCUCUGUUGUUUCUUUGAGAAAGGUCUACCCACAGUGGUUGGGGAUGUCAAAAUUUGGGAGUUAAGUGUCCAGGAAGUGCCAGUACUCUCCAGAGCCAAGCUUCAGAGUGAGGAGAGCAUGCAGGUGUCACCACACAAGUGUCCUGCCCUGACUCUGGAGCAGCACUGUAUCCCCCAGGGGACAAGGACCACACCCAAGAAAAAUUCCUAAGGACACUGCAUUUUGAUGGGGUGGUUCCAGAGCCCGCCAAGGCUGCUGUGGAGAUGGGGCAUGACUGUGGGGUUCUCAUCCAACAGACACCCUUUCACUGGGUCUUGAAGGAAGGGGAAGGACAGAUAGUUUAGAUGGGAACCUUUCAGAAUUUCGCCUGCUAAUUCAAUUUGACAAACUAUUAAGUGGUCAUAUACAGGAUCUGUAUGUUGUCACCCCAUCCGCUCUGGUGACUUGGAGGCUCCAGGCUGAUCUGCUUGCACUUGACUUUUGAAGCAAGUGGAAUAUAUUUUCUAAGACGUUGGAAGUCCGUGUGGUCCCCCCCGCCCCCCAAUGGCCGUGGUUUAAGUUGUUAGAUCCACACUCCUGCCUGGAGUAGCGGACUGAUGGGGAACAGAGAUGUGUAUCUUUCUAUUUCUGCAUUUGCCCAUGCCCUGUGCCAAGGGUCCAUUUGAUCCCUGGGACUGUGCAGUUUUGUUUCUAAAGUGGACAGAAGUGUCUCUGAAUGCACACAUCUUUAAAAUGGAGGACAGAGGGCCAGUUGAAUCUGCAGAUGGAGCAAUUUGAUUUUUCUGAACACAAACUGACAGCCAAUCACCGAGCUGCCAGCUGUGCGGGCAGGACCAGCCACUUCCCACUCGACAGAUGAAGUGGAGCGAAAUUCUUCAACACAAAUUCUUUAGCUUCUCUGGGGACAUUGGCAACUAGGAGGCCGAACCUCAGAUUUCUUCGGCCUUGGCCUUCUUUGUGGAUAUUUGGAGUUCAGGACUCUAGUGUGGUUAAAUCUCAUCUGGGGUGAGGGAGGGAGAGGGGGUAGAAUGGAGGAGCACUAGGAAAUAAAAAGUUAUUAUUUCAUCCAAAAUGUGAAGCCCCAUGCCAGAACCCAGCCCAGCCCAAAGGGGCUGCAGCUGUGGCUGUGUGUGUAUGUGUGGUAGGUAGGUAAUCCGGACAUCACCACUGCAUGUGAUGAACCGUCAAUCUUACCUUUGGGACCUCAGGGAGAAGAAAAGAUGACCACUGCAUAGAAGGUCAUGGGUGAGUGCUUUCUAAAAAUUGCUUUCUUUUGGCAUGGAGUCUAAAUUGCCAACACAAAAUUUUGAACCCGUGGAAAUUGGUGCCAGUAUCUGGAGACUUCCUCCUGUCCACAGCAGCUUCAGGUGUAACUGUCUUUGCAUGAUGUUGUGCCCAAAGCUUUGCUACCUGGUAGCAGACCCUGGUCAAGGCUGCCUGGGUUCACGUCCCAGCCCCACACAGGUCUUGAGCCUGUCUUCUGAUGACCUGCUUUCACCUAACAGGUGACAACCUGAAAAAGCAAACACACUGGAAAGCGCUCUGCCCCAGCGUGGCUUAUUACGAUGGAUGGCUAAAUGUUAGCUCAGCUCAGGGCGCUGUCUCUUCAGAUAAUCCGGCAAACUCGUUUGUCUUCUGCCCGCCCACUCCUUGGCCAGCGUUUGACAGACACUGACUAGCCUCUGCAUAAACAGGCUUUGGGAUUCCCCAACCUCAUUCUGUCUUAAAGUCAUACAUUGAUUUUCAUUUCCUUCAGUCGGGCCCACCUGUACCAGGAUGCUGGGUGUGGCCCUGCCGCACUUUUCGGAUCUGCCCACUAGGUGGCGAUAGAACUUCAUCAAGGGGUUCUUAGCCCCAGGCCUAGGUAGGUUUAAAAAAGCAUGGCCGAGGCCGCCCAGACAGCUAGGGUGGGUGCGCCUACGAAUACUUCUUAGCAGAGUUGCUUGUCACAGGCUGCCAGAGUUAGACCCCAGGAGGGCUUCCUGAAAUGAAGGCAGGACAGGGAAAGCUAGAGACCCGGCCUGGGCAUGGGGCGGGGCAGAGGGCGUGGCUCGGGCUGCUCGACGUCCACCGGAAGCAGGAGGCCUCUGUGGCGGCGGGACAUCUGCUGUCCAGGCACCCUUAGGAAUGAAUGCCUGCAAAGGCUGCGGAAGGCCCAGCUUGAUCCAUCGCUCGGAGCUCAUCACCUCUCCUAGGCCCGGGUGUUCUGGAAGCAGGCUAUGAACAGAUGAUGACGGCUCCCCCAGCUUCCCGAACCCUUCCCUUCAGCUAAGCUGUUCCAGGCCAGGGAACUAGACCCUUACUCUGUUGCAGCAUGACCUUCAGCUGGCCUCUGCCAAGCUCUUUGGGGAACCAGGGACACCGGCCACCAGCACUGUGGGCCCCUGCUCGGAGGCUAUUCAGCCACAGCCUUACUGGCCUUUCCACUGGGUCCUUGGAAAUGAUGACAGUGGCGGGUAGAGGUGUUGUGCACCGGAGAGGCUGAGUCUGGUGGGACUCCAAGACUGACUCCACACAGGCUGUCCUGGACUCAGGUCUGUGCCAUGGUCUUGUGUCUCUGGCCCGCCGGCAGACCUGCUUGUCAAGCCACACCUGCCAGGCUGGAUUUUCUUCUUCAGCAGAUGACUCUUUUGUCUCCUGCAGUCAGGCACUCUGCUUCCUCACAGUAACCCUCACUCCCUAGCAACCCCUUAUUGGGUUGGUUGUGUAGUGGGUUUGUCUGAAAUGUCAACACACUUGUUUUGUAAUGAUAUUGGGGGAUGCUUUCCUCUACAAGGACCUUAGUAUUAAAACUCGCCCGGGACCUGAAGUCUGUGCAGAGCCGUCAUGGGACUCCAGGGACUAAGCACCAGGCUAGAGGGUUGGCGAGCUGGCACCUCUGAAGCUGAGGGCCACUGGGGACGCCUAGGGAGCUGCUCUGUGUGGGGGGACUUGGGCAGUUCCCACCAGGAAGCUCCCUGCUCUUCCCGAGGCACAACAACAGAAGGCCAUGCUUGAAGCCAGCAGGCAGGAGGCAGUCUGCUGGUGUGACUUAUGAGAGAUGAGGCUCAGAGAGGUUCAGAUUCCUGCCCAGAGCCACACAGCAAGGAAGAGAAGUCAGACUUUUUUUUUUUAAUCAUAACUUGCAAAAUUCUGUCUGCAAAUAGUAUCCUAAGGGCUAGGAGUACAGUGUUCAUGUAACUAGUCAGUCCAACGAUAUUGCUGGACACUUAAUGCAGGCUAGAGGCACAGGACAGAGCUCAAGGGGAUGGCCAGGCCAUGUGACAUCCAUGCAGAGUGUCAGGGUGACCCAAAGGAGAGGCCUACAUCCUGGGCAGAAGUCAGCACCAUGAUGAUGCCCUUAUUAGCUACUUGUCCUGGGAAGCAGCACUCCUCGCUUUUGAGACAGAGAUUUAGAGAGACUCUGAAUGUUCCGAUCUGGAAGUCUUCUUGGGCAGAGGCCUUUUAACCUCUUCCUUUAAAAUAAAAAAAUCCCUGUUCAUCAUGGGACAUUCCAAACACGAAUCAGUGUGGUAAGAGCAGGGUCUUCUUGCCGGGUCCCACAUUCCAGUCACGGGCUCCGCUAUUGCCAGCCCAGGGCCGACUUCCUCCCAGCUUUGCCCCUCUCUCUUUUGCCCCUGGACUGUUUCCAAGCAGAUCGCUCACAUCCUGUCAUUUCAUCCAUAAAUAUUUCAGCACACAGCUGAGGAUAAUGCGGCACUGUAAGAAAAAAUCAGAAUCCAAUGAUCACACAUAGAACAGCAGCGUUAAUUCCAGCCAGUAUUCAAUUACCUUUUCCUCUUUUUGAGAUUUAUUAUUUUUUAUGUGGUGUAUUACCUGCCUGUAUGCCCGUGUGAGGGUGCCAGAUCCCCUCAGCUGUGAACUGCCGUGUGGGUGCUGGGAAUUAAACCCAGGUCCUCGGGAAGAGCAGCUAGUGCUCUCAACCAAUGACCCAUCUCUCCAACACUCUCCUCCUCCUCCUCCUCCUCCUCCUCCUCCUCCUCCUCUUCCUCCUCCUCCUUCCCCUCCUCCUCCUUGGUCCAAGCUGGGAUCGAAACAAGCGUCACAUGUAGUACUGUAUUCUCUCCCUCUUUUUUCCCCUUGUAAUAAUUUGUUCAGGAAACCUGGUUGAGUCCUGGGCAGCUUUCCAUACCUAGUACUUGCUUUAUGUGUCCUGGGGUCCUGUCUAGCAGCUCCCUGGGCCCUGUGUUUUCUGGUGUGUGUGACUCUGGAGGCUUGAACGAUUCAGGUUUGAGGUUUUGGAGUGUGGUAUCUGGAAAGCACAAGUCAAGGGUAGCUUGCUGAGUGCCAUGUGCGUUCAUGUGUGUGUACAUAUACUUGUGUCUGUGGGUGGUUCUCCCCACCUUUAGUUACUUCCAGAAGCCUUUGUUCUGGCGUCCACAGGCUCUUCUUCUAGGCUUCUUGUCAGGCAGGCAAGGAGUAAGUCAAUCGUGUCCCCUGAAGCUCCUGGAAAAUCUCAGGGAAAAGGAAGGUGGGGCCUCAAUCAGCAGGGUCUACGCCCUCCCCUGCGUAGACAAAAUGGAGCAUCCCAGCCUUGAAUUCUAUUUGGAUGUGACAGGCAGAGCGAAGGAGGUUAGGCUUAAAAGCAAUCACAAAAGAGUAUGAAGUUCAAAACUGUCGCAAAAGUUUAGAAUGGAAAUGCAGAGUUAGGAAUGGCCAAGGAAGGAGCAUGCUGGUUUAUCUCCACUAUUGACUCCACUGGAUUGAGAAUUACCUAGGAGGCAUAUUGUUAGGGUGCUUCCCGAGAGAUUCAACUGAGAAAGGAAGACCUACUCUGAAUGUGGGUGCCACCACCCCAUGAACUGUGAUCCUAAAAUGUGGAAAAAGAAAAAAAAAAAAAGAGCAAACUGAGGACUAGCAUUCAUCUCUCUCAUCUUCCUGAGUAAGGACACAAUGUAACCAGCUACUCAUACUCCAUACCUUCCCCCAGCAAUGGACCACAGUCCUCUAGACUGAGCCAGAACAAAUCCUUCCUUCAUUAAGGUCUGGUCAGGUCACACACUGAGAGUAGAGGGGGAGAGAGAGAGGACAUUAGUUCCAAACUGCCACACAACCACUAUAGUCCAGCUGGUGGGUACCAGAGGGGAAAAUGAUGACCUAUAUAUCAUGUCUGUUGACAAGACAGAUGGCAACCAGGAGAAGCCACCUGCAGCUGGCUUUGCGGAAAAUCUGGCACCAGAGUGUGGGUAAUUCAUCUAGGGAAUCACUGAGCUGUGAACUCGCUAAACUGUGUUUGUUGGAGACCCUGUGCUCGGCUGACAUGGCGGUAUGACAGGCAACUGAGCCAGAUGGUACAAAUAGUAGCUAUGGGUCCAGGGUCUCCUGGCAGUGAAGUCUGCAGGUCUGGGAUGACUGAACUCCUGUGGGCACUUUCCUAGCUGCAGAGAGGGGUGUGUGCUCAGUGUGUGGCUUGGCCUGCAUUCCAGUGCCCACUCUGCUCUGUCCACCAAAUGUUCUGAGGGACCUGGUUCUUCUGAGCACCCUGCCUGUCAGUAUGAGGUCAGUCCUCUUUAGGAAUGGAGGUUGCUGAUGCGGGAAGGGGUUGAUAGUGUGGUAUAGAGGGUGCCAGCACUCUGGUUCCAGAUGGAUGUGGCUUUUAGUCUUGACAGUGUGGUAUAGAGCAUGCCCAAACUCUGGCUUUUAGUCUUGACUCCACUCCUGACCGGGGUUUGGGGGCAGACAGGUGAUAACUCAGACAUCCUAGCCCUCAGCUACCUCUGUUGCCAAAUGGGGGUGUGUGCCUCGUGGAAUGGCUUCAAGGGUCACACGGGCUAAUAGAAAGAGAAGACACCUGGUACGCGCUUGUGGAACAACUUCCUGACGUCGGGCAAGCAUGCACAGUGAAUCUUCCAUAGCCCGCCCUCAUCAUACACAAGCUGGAUGGUGGCCCGGCCAGUGCUCUUUAUAUCCAGAAGGGGCUGUAGCUCUUAGACCUUAGGACCUAUCUUUUAAAUCCACCCUUUUCUACUCCUGGAAUGCGCUUCCUUUUACUUCCCUCAGACCAGACUGUGCGAGUCCCAGCUGCUCGCCAUUGUGGACGCUGGCCCUUCCACACAGAAUUGUAUUAGAGGUUUCCAUUUCCUGAAUCCCUGCCUGUUUCUAAUUACUGUACCUACCCAUAAUUAGAUGAAUGUGAACUGAAAGAAUGGGAGCCACCUGGCCUCGCUGGGUUGGCGUGGAAACUUUCAACCUCCUUAACAAAUAUUUUGGUGAUGAACUUUUGACCAUAGAUGCAUCUUUUCUCCAUGAGCAUCCUUUGCUCAAAGGCAGCAUGUGUCCAGCAGAGAGGUGGCAUUCAGGUCCUCCAUCAGACUGAAGUUAUUUCUCUGUGCCGCAUCUGCAAAGCAAGAGGUUUAGACCCCACAGCCUCUGGGGCUCUUUCAUUAUUUUAGUGAACUUGAAUGCUUGUAGGAAGAGUUUAAAUUGACCAGAUCUAGAGUUAGCUGCCAGGCAGAGUGGCAGGCUUUCAGUGCCCUUAGGUUUUGAAGGUUGUUUCUCUGUGGCCCUUCAGGAAGGAGAGUGUUGAGCAGUGACUGGCUGGAUUGGUCGUUUGCAUGAAAGGAUAUUUCCAUUUCCAAGGUUUUCUGAUUAGGGCUUUAUCACAUCUUUUAAAGUUGUCCUGAGUCUGGUUAUCUGGAGAGCUUUUCAGCAUUUGAUGUUCAGGUUAUACCUUGGAAUAAUUGCAAGGGAAUUCUGGGGAGUAGAGGGUGAGGCAUCAGUGCCCUGUAAAGAUCACGCAUGUGAUCCAGUGUGAGGGCAAUAUGGAUGAUCAGCUACAGAACAGCAUGUCCCAAAUAUCCCAGAGUGCAGGUAUGGCCAGGAAUCCUGGGAAGGUGCAUGCUGACUCAGCUUGAAUUGGCAAUCAGUUCAAUGACAGUCUCAUCCCAAACAGUGACUUUUAACUUUUUAAACUUGGGUGUACUGAUAAAUAUCAUAUACUAAAUAAAUCACAGAGGUGAGCAUUCGGUAGCAUUCUUCAAAACAUGCAUGCUUCAAUGCUGCUUCUAAGAACUCCAUCAUCUAGCAAGUGGCUUCUCUAAUGUCUUAUAGUGCAUGUGAUUCAUACAAAUCUCAGGGUCGGGGAGGGGAGGCUGCUAGAAAGGUGAACAGUCGUCAUGGCCACAUCCAUGGUGAGAGCACGUUUGCACAUCAGCAGCUGCAGGUUGCGCAUGCUCAACAUACUCAUCUGUUCUUGGUUUUACAACCUCAGACAUUUCCCUAUAGUCGGAUCUCCAGACUAGUGUGCAAAAUUAAUCUAGAUCUUCCCUGGACCUGGUCACAGACUGUAGUUUGCCCUUCCCAAUUCCCAUUUUUCUUAUUGUUUAGAAAAAUGAGUGCCUGCUUAAGUAGGGUCUUGGACUGACCCUCUCUGAUUGGUAGAACUUGAAUGGUACUUUUUGUUUCUUUCUUUCUGAAAUCCCAAAAAUAUGAGCAUAUUCCAUCCACCAUUUUUUUUCUUUUUCUUUCUUUUUUUUGUUUCUCUGUGUAGUUUUGGUGCCUGUCCUGGAACUCACUUUGUAGACCAGGCUGGCCUUGAAUUCACUGAGAUCCACCUGUCUCUGCCUCCCGAGUGCUGGGAUUAAAGGCCACCGCCGCCCAGCCCAUCUAUCAUCUUAUAUUGACUGCAUGAUUAAUGAUCCCCUCUAGCCACUGAUGGAUCUUUUAAGUGCUACUGAUAUUAAAGGGGUCCAAUAGAUCCUAUGGUUUUAUAUUGGUAAAUUCUCAGAAGACAGUUUUUCAUUUCAAUGUAGGGGGGAAAACACAUCUCAGAACUUUAGGCAUCAAAAAGCCAUGAGAUCAUUAGCCAACAGUGAAAUUCUCUUCGACACCACAAUGAGGUCCCACUUCAUUCACACUGGCAUAGUUCACAACAGAAAGAUGGAUAGUCCCCAGUGUUGAAGGUGGAGAGAAAAUACAAACCCCACACAUUUCUUGAAGGAAUUCCAAAGGGUUCAGUGUUUUGGGAAACAGUCUUGUAGUUCCUCAAAAGGUUAAGUGAUAGCAGGGCGCUGACAUGAGAGCAGAUGGACGGGAUAGGAGAGUCUAGCAUACUAUGAACACAUUUAUAGUCAGUAGAUCUAGUGGAUAUCAAGAACAUGCUUGGAGAAAGGACCACUUCACCAACAAGUGGUACUGGGAAAACUGAGUCAAAGGCAAGCUGUGCACAGGCACACCAGGAAGCUAGGGUACUUUUGUCCAUGGCUUUUCCCUGUCUCUGCAUUUGGUGCGUACUGCUCCCUUAUUCACAGUGGAUAUACCUCUGCUCAGAUGCUCUGUGGGAACCUGAUAGUCCAUGAAUUCAAAGAUGAUCUCAUGGCCUCUCCCUUCCCUUAAUCUUGCUUCCCCUUCUGUAUGAUUUUCCUAGAGUCUGGCAUCCCUCAGACUCCUAAAUCAGAAAUCUUGCUCCCCACCAUACCUCCAUCCCUCUCUUCAGGAUGAGUCAUCACAAUCUGUAGAGUUCAUUGGGUUUGUCCUUUCCCUCCCUCAGUGCUGUAAGAAGGAGGAUUUAUCCCAUGUGAAUGCAACAACCCAGUCUUUCUGGCUUCCUCUGUCACCCAAUCCUCUGGAUAAUGAAGGAUAUGGUUACCUUUCCUAGAAUUUGACAAUUAACCUAAAAUUUUUCUUUCAGGAUAAAGAUAACUUCGCCCAUACCCAGCAGGAAGCAAUUUUAAGAAUACGACGCCCACAUUCCCAAAGAGGUGGUGUGGGGCGGGUGGUUUUUUGGUCUUUUUAAUGGGUUUUGGGUCUGGGAUAAUUUUCAUUGUUUAGGGGAGUUGGUUACAAGUUGUUGUCAAGGGUUAGGAAAAAGGCUAAGCAAAAGAGAUUAGAUUUAAGGUUCUUGUUUAAAAAAAAAAAAGAAAGAAGAAGAAAAAGACAAUUACUAGUUUUAAAUACUUUACAUUGGAUUGGAUUGUUUUAUAUUGUAUACAAAUUAUAUAUAUUGAAAUUGAUAUUGUUAGAAAAUGCUAUAUGUAUAUCUCUAAUUGUACUUAUACCAUUCAUUUAACAAUGCAAUUUUCUGAUCCUUGAAUGUUAUUAUUACCAACUAUUAGGAUAUAAAGAAAUGAAAGUUAGUAGUUAGACAUUCCAAUAGAACUUGUAGUCAUAUUAGAUAUGUUUUAAAAAUUGAGCAGAUAUAUUUUAGACAGGUCAUCUUCAAACCCUUCAGAGAUCUACAGAAUAUGGCAUUUAAAAUGUUUUAAUAACUUAGAAAAUUUUUCUUUUUUGUUAUGAUUAUGAGACAUGUCGGCUCCUGGCAGUACCAAUCUACUUCAGGGAAAAUAUGGGCAUUGAAGAAACUGUGUAUGGAGUUAACUUUCAUUGUGGCAAAAGUUAGCCACUGGACAACAAAGUAUCCUUGAAUCAACUGCUGACAAAAUGGACAGACAGGACAUGAAACAAAGGACUACUGAUUCUUGCCAAAACAAGUGUGGUUAUGGCUUUAUCAAAAGGCAUCUUCUGAGGCCAGGACAAUAUGGCACCAUCCCUGAAGUGGCCUUCGCAAUUCGGAAAAGGUACAGUGCCCUUUUCUUCGAAGGCAGCUGAACAGGCAGUGGGCCGAUGGCUUCUGAUGUGCAAUGGAACAGCAGCUGAAACAGUUAUUCUUGAAGAGUAACUAAGCUCACGCCUUGCAAUAGUAAACUGGCAUUUGACAGAGGGAUGUGGAGAAGAACGGGAUGCUAAGAUGAAGCCAUAUAUACACAGCCAAGAAGAAUGGACAGCUGAAUUAAAAAAUCAACAACAAUUUCCAGAAUUUAAAAUCCUGAAUCAUGACAUGACACUAGUGGAAUUCAGGUGUUUCUGGUACAUGGACUAUUCUCACCCAAUGUGAGGUUGAACUGUUGACCUUGUGUACAUCCUACUUCACAAAUGACUCUGUCAGAUAUGCUAAGCCUAUAGGCUGAAGAUGAUGCCCCAAUACUGUGGAGAAACCUCAGGUGACUGUCCAGGCAGCUGGCUGUUUCUGUCAACUCACAAAUUUUUUGGAAGUUGCUUGCAUGCACUUUCUGUUUUUAUUUUUGUUAGCUAAUAUUAUUUCCUUCUUGGGUCUCUGAGGGAGUUGAAGAUUAGGUAGUUAUAGUUGAAGGUUAGUUAGUUAUAGUUGAAGAUUAAUUAGGAUAGAAAGUGAAUUAGAUACAUUUUGGACUUAACAAAAUAGGAUAGAUAAUGAAAUUUUCUCUGAAUUUGUCAAAUACAAAUGGACUAGACAUUGUUUAGACAUUUAUUACUUGUAUAUAUUGUAUAUAGUCAUUGUACUUUUGUAUAUAGUUUUUCUUUUGUUAGUUAUAACCUUUUUCUUUUUUUUCCUUUUUAUUAAAAUAGAAAAGGGGAAAUGUGGUGGUAUUUUACUUGUACUGAAAUGUGAUUUUAAUUGUAUGUUAAUAAAUAAAGUUGUCUGGGGGUCAGAGCUAUUAGAGUCAUAGCAAGUGCAUGGCGGCGGUGGCGCACGCCUUUAAGGACCUGGAGGGCGGUACAUUCAGGCAGUGACGAGGCAGUGACAUGUUUGGGUUUACAACCAAUGACAAGGCAGAACAGGAAGACUUUAAAGACAGACACACAGGAAGUAGGUCCUUUUCGGAGAGCUCUCUUGGCUGGAGAGGAUCCCUGAAUCAGGAAGGGUGAGGCUCUUAGCUCUGACCU